GGACUGAUUUAAAUAUUAAAAUCACUCCUUUCUAAUCCUCUGCUGUACGUUCAAACCUGAGGCCUUAAAUAGAAACACACAAGUAUCUGAUUGAAGGAACUUCUGCAGAGUCCUGGUUCCAGAACAUGAUGAUAGAAUUAUAGACAAACUUUAACAAAAGCUGCCUGAGAGUUUACAGGUUUUUAUGUUAGAUUUCUUCAGUAAUUUAAUGAGCGUUAUCAGCAAAAAUCAAGUGUUCAUUUGAUGAACUUCAUUUCCUAAAACAUCCAGAAUUGGAGCUCAUAUCUUUGGCAGCUGUAAAGUUUCUGCUCCUUCAAAGUUCACAACACAAUGAAUGAAUUCCUAAAACACUCUCAAUGCUGGAGAGCGUUUGUGAUGCUGAAGCAGUGACCAGUUUUUCUGUUUCUUCUCUGGAGAUACACAAUGAGGGACGUCUGCAGCGACUGAGAAAGAGUCUCACCACAUCCUGACAUGAGGAAAAAGACUUUAUUGAAGACUACAAUGAGAAAAACUAUCAGACAGCAGACGGCUGCAUUCAAGUCUGUAGCUGCUGAAUUCAUGGAUGAAUCAUCUGGCACUAGAGAAGAAGACCAUCAAACAUCCACGUCAGCUGAUGGAGGUCCAAGAGUCUCACCAAACAAACAACCUACAGAGUGAAGACCUCAAAUCUGAUUGGACGGCCUCCUAUUCAGCCACAUUUUAGGCUGUUAGAUUGUUCCAGAUAAGACAAGUACAAGAUUCUUCAGAGCCGUUCUACCACGAGCCUGACAGGAAGAACUCCAACAGCUACUGAAUGUUCCUGUGGUCCCUUCAAGGCUACAGGAGGAGUCCUACGAGG
Long non-coding RNA from Amphiprion ocellaris (clown anemonefish), 838 nucleotides. Lineage: Eukaryota; Metazoa; Chordata; Actinopteri; Pomacentridae. The record is from Ensembl.